GAGGAGACAUGGCCCCUUUCAAACAGCCACCUCAGUUCUCUUUUACUGCCCUAUCCUUUCGCCGGGUUUCUCCUUUCAACCUUGAGAGAUAACUGACAUGGGCUUAGGAUACUCAGUCAUUCUGGAAUUCUGUAUCAGCACUGAAACAUGAGUGGGGAAAUUCUAAGAAAUUUACUUCUCUUUUUCUUUUCAUAUUUUCCUCAUUCCAAAGUGGAACUAAAUCGAGGUUCCCUAGCAACCCAGGGCUCUGUGAAGAUUCAUUAUUCUAUAAAAUCCCACCACCUUACAAACACAAAAUGUUACAAGUUGCCCAGUCACCCCGGCUUCUGAGAUGAAGAAUAUUAUUGAAGUCAAAUCUGGUGGCUAUCACACUCCAUGGAACUUGGGGCAACAUUUAGGUACCUCUACCCAGGAAAGAAUCUCUGAGAAAUAGGUGGCAGUUUCUCUAGCAGCAUAAGAAGAACCUUGAUAAGCAUCAUCCUUAAGUCCUGACAGCAGUGGAUGACUAGUCAGGAACCUGUCCAGGAAUAUCCAGCACAAUAAGCAUUGAAGAAACAAAUGGCAACGCAAGCUUAAAGAAUUCCAAGCCAUUAUGAACUGACUCUUCAAAUAAGUGCUUAUUUUCACAUAACCAGGGAGUUUCUGGAUUAACUUCCAUAUAAGACAUAUUUAUUAAAAGAUUUGCACCCCUAUUGCUGGCACUGGGUGGACCUCCCCAAACGCUCUGCCCUUGGUGCUCUUCUGCCGGUUAUUCUCGUCCAUGACCCCAGAGCCAGGGAGAAUCUCACCAGUGCAGCCCAGGGCACUUCUGAUAACAUCUGAGCAGAGUGAAGGAGAAGAAACGCACGAGGCAGGCAUCUCAUUUAUGGAAGUGCUCCUCUGGGUCAAGCCCUCUGCCAAUAAUUUUCAUGCAUAAUGGCCCUUUCAUUCUCCCCAAAAAUUCUUCAAGGGAGGGUGAUAAUCCCAGGAUAUGGAAACAAGGAAAAGCAGACUACAAGAAGUUAAGUGACCUCCCCAAUGACCCGCUGCUCAUAAAUGGUAGUAUCAGAAUUAAAACCCAGAUGAGGCUGCCCAGGACUGAGGUUUGUGUUACCCCCCGAAGGUGCGCACCAUGGAGAAUGGCCUGGAGUUUCCUGGCUGCAUGUAAGUGCAGGAAGACAUGCUAAGGGUACCACCGCUCUCAGUAGAGCAAGCACACUUCUCUCGGGCUCUUUCCUGAAUUCAAGUAAUCACACCUCGCACACCAACCCACUGCCAAGAAAGAGCUUUUAUUUGACUCAGGAGGUAGAGAAAGUUUCACUGAAGGAUUUCUAAAUUUGUUCUCUUUCUUUCUUCCUUCCUUUUCUUUCUUCCUUCUUUCCUUCCUUUCUCUUUUCUUUCUUUUGUUCAUUCUCUUUCAUUUUUCUUUCUUUUUUUCUUUCUCUUUCUUUCCCUUGUCCAUUCAUUCGCCUUUCCUUUCUUUAUUUUUCUUGGCUUUUUUCUUUCAUUUCUUUAUAUUCCCCUCUUUCGCUUUCUCUGAAUUUUUAUGUCUCUUUUUUGUUCUUUUUUAUUCCCUUUUUAACCCACUUCCUUAACAACAUCUGUAUCUCGGGUGAAAUUGCUGGAACUGUCACAUUAAGUUCCAGAGAAUUUCUCAUUUGGGACCUUGCAUAUCACACAUGGCUCCAAGGGGCUGAUGGAUUCCUUUUAUGUCCUCUUUACUACUAAAGUUUAUAGGGAACAUCUUGCGUCUCUCUCUUUUCUCUGCUACAUUAAAAAUGAUCAUCUAGCUCUCCAUAUGGCCAAAGUUUGAGGUCUUGCUUACUGGUUAGUAUUGAUUAGUACUUAUUCAUAACUGGUAUAAUAUUUUUCCUACAGAGUACAAAUUGCAAUUUGCAGUAUCAGACCUUAGAAAGCUUUGGACCACAUAAUAAAUGCAAGAUUUGACAAACA
This 1932-nucleotide long non-coding RNA is filed under the name Homo sapiens (human). RNAcentral's name for it is "long intergenic non-protein coding RNA 1333". Lineage: Eukaryota; Metazoa; Chordata; Mammalia; Primates; Hominidae. The record is from RNAcentral.